Molecule: long non-coding RNA, 691 nt
Filed under: Homo sapiens (human)
Lineage: Eukaryota; Metazoa; Chordata; Mammalia; Primates; Hominidae
Description: non-protein coding lnc-DEC1-7:1
Source: RNAcentral
UUCUUUUUUUCUUUUAAAUCUUUUCUAGCUUUCCUUCUGACAAACUUUGCUGGAGUCCUACUCCUUUUCUCUCCUUCUUGAGAAAAAUGCAAAUUUUGCUCCAUGUUUUGGUAUAGCAGGGAAGCUUCCAUCUUUUUUUACUGAAGCAUAACAUCAGGGCCUACAUUCCAUCUCAAACGGCUUGUCAAGGUCCUUCCACAAAUAAGAUGUUCCUCCAAAGAUGAUGUACAGAUGCCAAGUUGGAUAUAGCUAGAGAAAUCUCAUGGCUACCCCAAUCAGGAGAGAGGUUGCUGUUUCUCAGAAGUCCUCCUCCCCACUUCCAGGGUCAUCAUUGUCUCUCAACAACUUUGUGGGGAUAUAAAAACCCUCGCGGAACUGGUUUUCUGAGAGGUGUUUGAAGCAGGAAUAUAUUAUGCAGGGGAUGGAGCAGCCAUUCCCUGGCUAGAUGACCACAUCACUGUUGCACACUGAUUGUUUGCUAAAGGCACAAUGCUUUCCUGACCAGAAAUGAAAAAUGCCUGCUGCUCAAUUAUUGUCAAUCUAACUGGAAUAGAGUCAGGCCUCGUCAGAUGGUUUCCCAAACACCCAGAUGGUCUCUUAGAUUCUGGAUGGUCAGUGUGGUAGUUCUUUCCAUUACAUCCUUGAGAUCCUGCUGUUCACACCAUUCAGCAGGGCACCCUGAACCUUGUCC